AUGGCGUUCGUUGCCUGCACCGCCGACCUGAGGUGUCUCGUCGAGCACGCCAACAGGAAGAACGGCGGCAAGCCGGUCAUCCUGUGCAGGAGGUUCGUCAAGCACCUCGUCAUGGUCUCCACCGGCGCCGGCGGCAUCGUCAUGGCGAUGCAGAGCCUCGCCGCCUCCGCCUACGCGGCGUCGGGGUCGCUGGCGAGGACGGAGCGGAGCUACGGGACGGUGUUCGUGGCGCUGCCGUCCCCGAACGUGUUCGGCGGCGCGCCGCUGGUGGUGACGCGGCACAGGAACUACUCGGCCCAUGACAUCUCGGAGUUCCUCGCGGUGGUCAGGUUCUCCGGCGAGGAGGUCAAGCUGUACCGCACGAGGGCGCUGCCGGUGAACUCGGGGUUGAGGACGCCGCGCGUGCCGAUGACCGCCGUCUACGGCGCCGGCGUGCCGACGCCGGAGCAGCUGGUGUACUGGGACGGUGACUUCAGCAAGGCGCCGGAGGUGGUGUACGGCGACGGCGACGGAGAAGUCAAUCUGGUGAGCGUGUUGGCGUGGAACACAGUGGUCGGACAUGAUCUGGAGCAAGGUUUCUUCAAGGCCAUCAAGAUCAUGAAUGCAACAUGUUUACACCCAAAUUUGGUACCUAUGGACGAAAUAAGGGAAAAUUGCCAAAGUUUGGAAAGUAUCGAGCUUCCUUCACAAGGCCGGUCAGACCGCAGGUAUAUCGGCGGUCUCACCGGCUAGUAGGGCCGGU
Molecule: long non-coding RNA, 742 nt
Filed under: Oryza sativa Indica Group (long-grained rice)
Lineage: Eukaryota; Viridiplantae; Streptophyta; Magnoliopsida; Poales; Poaceae
Description: lncRNA OsMH63_10G003770
Source: RNAcentral